CCUUACAGCCACACCACCCUGAACAUGCCCGAUCUCGGAAGCCAAGCUGAGUCGGGCCUGGUCAGUACUUGGAUGGGAGACCGCCUGGGAAUUUUCCAUCCAUCAAUU
RNAcentral lists this ribosomal RNA (108 nucleotides) under Haplochromis burtoni (Burton's mouthbrooder). The record is from RNAcentral. Lineage: Eukaryota; Metazoa; Chordata; Actinopteri; Cichliformes; Cichlidae.